CAAAAUCGAAGACGAAGGAAAACUCGCUUUCUCUCACGGGCACCAGCUGAGUGCGGUCGGCCCCAGACGCUGAUGCAGGCUAGGGAGGCGACGCUGACUCCCAAAAACAAAACAAGCGCCCAAAUUGAGCCCUUCAAAAAAUACAAAGGAGCAUACCUAAACGUAAAAAACCCUAAAAACGUUUCUCAGAGAUAGAAUAAGGAGAAGGACCAUACUGAAACAAAAACAAAAACAGAAAUAUCUGCUCAUGUCCCCAAAAUCCCCUCCUCCUCAGGCACGUCGUUUAUCUUAUUUAAAUACAAUGUUCACUCUCUGAUAAAAGCUUUCUUCAGUUCUUAAAACUCUUUUAAAAGCUUUAUUAUUGUUCUUCUUAUUAUUUAUGCACUUAAUAACAUACUGAUCAAAAGUACAAAACAUGGAUUUCGAAACGGAAUCGCAGAAGAAGAAGUACGGAGCUGGGGUUUUUGGAGAUGUCUACGCUAUAACUAUGAUGCUUCCCAAGGACCUCGACAAGAUGGAUCCUCCUCCUUCUCCUCCUCCCUUUCAGCUCCGAUUUCAACUUCCUGGGCUCAACUUUCGAAUUCACCUAAACUUUACUGAUCAUUGGAGGUGAAUAGACUAAUAAAGUAUAAAUUUAUAGAGAAUUUUAUUUUGAUUUGCAUAAUCAAUUUUGCUUCAAGAGAGUAGGUCGCUCAAUUUUUCUUGUGCAAUAAAAAUAAUUUAUUUGAAAAUAACUAAAGAAUGCAACUUCCUCAGUUAAUUAAAAUGAAAUUAUCAAUUUAAUCUUUUUAUCUAAACAUGCUUUUAAAUUUAAUGAAAUUAAUUGAUUUACAUAAUCACAACGCAAUAAUUUUAUAUCUACAAAUAAAAUGAAUACAAUGCUUUUUCUCUUAUUUGCAUCCGCAGUUACGAUAUUGAAUUUAUUUGUUACGGAUCAAUUUUAAAUUAAAAAAAAUACUCGAUCCAGUCAUAAUUAGUAUGAAGAAUGUUAGCAAUUAGCAAAAAUCAAAAUAAAAUUAUCAAAAUUAAUAUGAAAAACAUUAGUUUUAACGAAAAUUCGAUUAUAAUAUAUAUUUAGAGAGUUAAUUGUCAUGAAAUUAAAUAAAAUGGUUGAGUGGAUUAAUUGUUUUAUUUUCCAAGAUAGAUAACAUAACAUUAGUCAUGUGAUUUUCAUUUUUGCCCUGCGCAAAAUAUUAAAAAUUCACUUGAGCUUAUUUGAAAUUGAAAUGGUCCCUUCCCUUCACUUUGCCUCGAACCAAAAAUAAAGAUGCACCACACCACAUGGCUGUGUGACUGAGACAUAGUCAAGUCAAUCAACUUUUUCUUUCCCCAUUUUAUAGCCAAAAAUUUAAUUUGAUGAAUAAAUAUAAAAAAGCUCAUUAUUAAAAUCUUAUUUUCAUAAGAGAGAGAGAGAGCCCAAUUGGCCCACAAAGAAAAGGUGAAAGCCCCGUCGGUGCACUUUACCCUUUUUCAACUUUUAUUAAUUCAAAAUCGAAGACGAAGGAAAACUCGCUUUCUCUCACGGGCACCAGCUGAGUGCGGUCGGCCCCAGACGCUGAUGCAGGCUAGGGAGGCGACGCUGACUCCCAAAAACAAAACAAGCGCCCAAAUUGAGCCCUUCAAAAAAUACAAAGGAGCAUACCUAAACGUAAAAAACCCUAAAAACGUUUCUCAGAGAUAGAAUAAGGAGAAGGACCAUACUGAAACAAAAACAAAAACAGAAAUAUCUGCUCAUGUCCCCAAAAUCCCCUCCUCCUCAGGCACGUCGUUUAUCUUAUUUAAAUACAAUGUUCACUCUCUGAUAAAAGCUUUCUUCAGUUCUUAAAACUCUUUUAAAAGCUUUAUUAUUGUUCUUCUUAUUAUUUAUGCACUUAAUAACAUACUGAUCAAAAGUACAAAACAUGGAUUUCGAAACGGAAUCGCAGAAGAAGAAGUACGGAGCUGGGGUUUUUGGAGAUGUCUACGCUAUAACUAUGAUGCUUCCCAAGGACCUCGACAAGAUGGAUCCUCCUCCUUCUCCUCCUCCCUUUCAGCUCCGAUUUCAACUUCCUGAUCUCAGG
RNAcentral lists this long non-coding RNA (2060 nucleotides) under Jatropha curcas. RNAcentral describes it as "long non-coding RNA (JCUR_LNC002877)". Lineage: Eukaryota; Viridiplantae; Streptophyta; Magnoliopsida; Malpighiales; Euphorbiaceae. The record is from RNAcentral.